AGUUUGACACUUUUUCAGACCAUCAUACUGGUCUGAAUAGGUUGAUUGGCAUGUCUAAAGUGUCCAUAGAGUAUGAAUGGGUGUGUGUGUGUGUGUGUGUGUGUGUGUGUGUGUGUGUGAGAGAUUGUGUGCCCUGUGAUGGAUUGGUACCCUGUCCAGGGUGUACCCCGCCUUGUGCCUGGUGCUUCCUGGGAUAGGCUCCAGGUUCCCCAUUACCCUGAAAAGGAUAAGCGGUAUAGAAUAUGGAUGGUUGGAUGGAUGGAUGGAUACUGGUCUGAAUGUGUCAUAUUUCCAAACCAGCUGUCAAACCCUUGAAAAAUAAUCAUUUUAAAUAAUCUCUUUUAUCCGGUUACAGAGUAUAACUUGAUCAAGACCAAACAACCAAACCGAACCGUCUUAUCCACAUUAAAGUGCAGCUCCUCUCUCCAGGUUAAUUCAGCUGUUGGUUUUCAAUUGAUGAAAAAGGUGCAUGGUAACUUAUGGUAUAAAUGUGGUUUGGUAAUUAUAACACAGUAACCUCUGCCUCAAAGCUGCUGCUAUAUUUAUUCUUUCAUGCCUGAUGUAGAAAGUGAUCCAAAAAAUCGUGAUCAGGCAGCUAGUCAGCUAGUCGGAUUGAUCAGAAUGGUUGGGGAGCAAGUGGGAGUGGGAUUUAACAAAAACAGACAAACACAGUUAGCUCGAACACAGAAUAGGAGACUGUUCAAGUGUCAAAUGCUGUGCCCUGUGCAAAUAUGCAUGAAAAGCUAUGCAACUUCCUGCUACAUUUCCUCUUUAUAACUAGCCAUAUUUAUUUUUAGUCAGCACGUUCUUUAUAGAGUUUGCUAAUUUCUUUAUGGGAUUAAAUGGACCUGGGCUGUUUAAAUGUUUAUAGUUUAAAUGGAAUGACUGUGUGAUUGACCUCUUAUGAGGUGACCCACUCAUUGCAUGUUUGUUUCCGUGAAAACUGUUUGUGUUACUGAGUUACCUGAAGUAUUUGACAUUUGGAUGGUACUUACCCCCUUGCACGCUCUAAGCUUAUGAUAACAGUUGCCUUUACCCACGGCUUAUACUGACAGCUUGCUUUGUUCAUGACUUGUGUUCUGUUCUUGUAUUGGCCCUAGCUUAUUUCAUGGCAUAAUAAUGCACAUUCAUGCCAUUAUCCAACCAGCCAAUCAUGUGGCAGCAGCACAAUGUAUAAAAUCAUGCAGUUCAUUCAACAAUUCAUAUAUGAUGUAUUGCCUCAAACUGAAACUGAAGUAUUUUAGAAAUAGUUUGGUUUAAUGAACCAUUGUGUGACUCUUUUUUUUUUUUUUUUAUCUACAAUUGUGUGUUUUAUUAUUUUAUAGCAUGUAUUUUACUAUUAGAUCAGCAUGAUCUGGAUUAACAUGAAACAAAAUCAAACUAUCCAUUAAACUUCUAAUCAUAAUAUCUAAUAUAUUACCUCUAGUGAAUAUGCUGGGGCUGUGGUAAAUAUAUUUGCUAAUGUAUUCUGAUUUCAGAAGUAUGAGAACAAUUGUGUGUGAAUUUACAAGUUCAUCACUACUGGCACUUGGGGUUCUGUGGUUUGUUAGUUUGUAGCUAUUUCAGGAAAUGUUAUCUGUGAUCUCAUGUUAUCUCAUCAUCGCUGCUGUGAAAAUUACAUUUCCAGAAGCUGCAGUUUAAUGAUUGUAUGAUGGUGCUGCAUUUUAACACGAUGUGCUUCAGUGUGUGGAUGCUUUGGUGUUGCUUGAUGUUUGUCAAAGGGGGUGAAUUGUGUAAAAGCUACUGCACUGAUAGAAGCAACAUUUCUAUUAAGAUUUAUAUUACACAGUUCUCAUCACUGGUCUGACGCGGUCAGGUUUAGAUGAGCUGCAGCUUCAUGAUCGUACAAUGGUGCAGUUUAAGAUGAGCUGUUUCGGGCUGUGGAUGGUUUAUUGGUGCUGUUUGGCUUUGGGAAACGGAGAAAGCCUGUGCAAAAGUGAACUUUUACUAAGCAGUAACAUUUCUACUGAGCUCCAGUCUGAUGUCCUGCUGCCGUGUAUCUUUAAUCCAACUCUCCUCGGAUCAGAUAAGACUGCAGAUAUAUCAGUAGUGUGGACUCAGAGGAACACAACAAUACACAAUCUAGUGGAGAUCACUCUACAGGGAGAUGUGUUGUUUUGGGAGUCUAAACGUGGACGUAUCAAGACGUUCGCUAAGCUCUCUGAAUCAGGAAACUUCUCCAUCCUCCUUCAGAAAGUGCAGCCGUAUGAUCUGGGUCUCUACCGCUGUGAGCUGUUUAACGGGACCGGCUGCAGAACUGCGUAUCAGGAGCUACAGCUUGAUACUUCCACAGAUCCUGUCUUCCAUCAGGCGAUAAUCAUCACAGGAGCAUCAACAGGAGCAGUACUUCUUUGUUUAUUCAUAGCAUCUGUCAUCUACAUAGGCAACAGACGUGAGUCUUUUGUAUAAACACUUUGUUAGGUAAUAUUUGACAUGACGUCUAUUCUUUUUUUGGUAACUUUUGAACGAGCUUGUUCAGAUAGACCAAUGCUGAUUAGUAUUAAACAUCUACUAUACAAUGCAUUUAAAUAAACAGCUCAACUGGAUGUUACAGGAAGGCACCGGCUACACCCAGAGAGCACUCGUGGUAAGUGUUAAGAGGUGUGAAUUCUCACAGCUACAGGAAGUUGCCACUCCUGUGAAGUAUUGAGGACUGUAGUUCUGCUGUAGCUUAAACUGAAUUAAUCAGUAACAUUGAAGGACGAACUAGAUGAAGAGUUCUAAUAAAUAAAAUAGUUGUAUGUAUUGUCUGUCUCUAGGUUGUUCACAUGAUAACCCAGACUAUGUCAGCUACAGCCAUGGCAGGGAUGAAACUCUUGUGAGUGAAAACCCGAUCUACGAGACUAUUUGGAACAGAGGAGGCAGCAUGUGUUGAAGGCUCAUACAGUACCUUCACCAGAGGGGCAAAUAUUGGAGAAUAAAUUAUAUCUUAGUAGGGACUCGGUGUUCUCACAAGGAUAGCAAAAAUUCACAGUUAUAUCUUUACAAGAACUGCAGCUAUUAUUUUAUUUAAAAAACCAAAAGAUCUCUUUUCGGUUACUUGAGUAAAGCUUAGAGUUAGAUUAAGGUGCAGAAUAACAUUAUCAUUAUUAGUCAGCAUUAAUAAUUAUGUCAAAGGUCUUGACAAGCAAGUGUGUGUGUGUGUGUGUGUGUGUGUGUGUGUGUGUAUCUACAGUAUACAUCCAUACAUACAUGCAUACAUAUACACACUCACUAUAUGGCCAAAAGUAUGUGGACACCUGAGCAUCAUUCUCAUAUAUGGUUCUUCCCCAAAACUGUUACCACAUGCUGCAUCAUUACCAUUUCCCUUCAGUGGAACUAACAGGCCCAGACAUGUUCAGCAUGGCAAUGUUCUUGUGCUCAAAGCAAGCUCCAUAAAGACAUGGCUUUCCAAGGUCGAUGUGGAAGAACUGGAGUGGCGUGCACAGAGCCCUGACCUCAACCACGCUGAACUGGAACGUCGACUGCACACCAAAUCUCCUCACGUGUCUCAAUGCCUGACCUCACUAUUUCUCUUGUGGCUGUAAAGGGAGAACGGGGAAAAUCCCCUCAGCCGUGCUCAACAAUCUAGUGGAAAGCCUUUCCAGAGAAGUGGAGAUUAUUAUAAGAGCAAUGACAGGACCAAUUCCCCAUCAAUGUUCAUUCAUUUAGAAUUCAUUUCUCUUGGAUGGAUACAUUUAUUCGCUUUAUUUAAUAUUAUAUUAUGCAAUAGCAUAUUAUCUCCGUCAAAAAUGAAAAAAUUUGUCAUUUAAGUGGUUUUAUUUUACAUUUGACUGCAUUCUUUUCAAUUUCUGAAUGUUUAAUUAAGCUGUUAGACACCUAACUAACUGGAAAGAUUUUUUUAUUAUUAUAUUACUGGUCCUUUUUUAAAAAAAUAAAUAAAAUAAAUGUUUUAUUUUAUUCAUUUCUUGUCUUUUGUUAUUAUUUUAUUAGUUUAUCUUAAAUAAUUGCUUGAUGACUUUAAACAAUGUUUCGUAAGAAGUUAUUAAUGGAUUAACGCCAUAAUUUUGAUGUUAUAUUUACAUAAAAAUUUAGCGUUUGCAAUA
Ictalurus punctatus (channel catfish) is the source of this 4046-nucleotide RNA transcript. RefSeq lists it as uncharacterized. The transcript is spliced from 5 exons. NCBI's taxonomy places the organism in Eukaryota, Metazoa, Chordata, Actinopteri, Siluriformes, Ictaluridae. The record is from RefSeq and is a predicted model, not a curated record.